Molecule: small nuclear RNA, 106 nt
Organism: Echinops telfairi (small Madagascar hedgehog)
Lineage: Eukaryota; Metazoa; Chordata; Mammalia; Afrosoricida; Tenrecidae
Source: Ensembl
GUGUUUGCUUAGGCAGCACAUAUACUAAAAUUGGAACGAUACAGAGAAGAUAGCAUGGCUCCUGUGCAAGGAUGACAUGCAAAUCCGUAAAGCGAUACAUAUAUCU